GACGAACGCUGGCGGCGUGCUUAACACAUGCAAGUCUACGAGAAUAAGAUAGCAAUAUCUUUAGUAAAGUGGCGCACGGGUGAGUAACACGUAAGUAACCUUCCCUUAGAUUUGGAAUAACUCCGAGAAAUCGGGGCUAAUACCGAAUGAUGCAGCGGCACCUCAUGGUGAUGUUGUUAAAGUCUAUAUGGCGUCUAAGGAUGGGCUUGCGUCUGAUUAGCUAGUUGGUGAGGUAACGGCCCACCAAGGCUACGAUCAGUAGCUGGUCUGAGAGGAUGAUCAGCCACACUGGAACUGAGACACGGUCCAGACUCCUACGGGAGGCAGCAGUGAGGAAUAUUGGGCAAUGCCCGUAAGGGUGACCCAGCAACGCCGCGUGGAGGAUGAAUGCCGUAAGGUUGUAAACUCCUGUUAGAGGGGAAGAAAAAUUCCGAUCAACUCGGGAACCGACUGUACCCUCAGAGAAAGCCCCGGCUAACUACGUGCCAGCAGCCGCGGUAAUACGUAGGGGGCGAGCGUUGUCCGGAUUCACUGGGUGUAAAGGGCGCGCAGGUGGGUCGGCAAGUCAGAGGUGAAAUCCUACAGCUUAACUGUAGAACUGCCCUUGAGACUGCCGGUCUUGAGUAAGGAAGAGAGAGAUGGAAUUCCAGGUGUAGUGGUGAAAUACGUAGAUAUCUGGAAGAACACCAGCGGCGAAGGCGAUCUCUUGGUCCUUUACUGACACUAAGGCGCGAAAGCGUGGGUAGCAAACAGGAUUAGAUACCCUGGUAGUCCACGCUGUAAACGAUGAAUACUAGGUGUCGGGUCUUUAGACUCGGUACCGAAGCUAACGCAUUAAGUAUUCCACCUGGGGAGUACGAUCGCAAGGUUGAAACUCAAAGGAAUUGACGGGGGCCCGCACAAGCAGUGGAGCAUGUGGUUCAAUUCGAUGCAACGCGAAGAACCUUACCUAGGCUUGAAAUGCAGUAGAUCGGGUAUGAAAGUACCCUUCCCUUCGGGG
Molecule: ribosomal RNA, 1000 nt
Filed under: uncultured bacterium
Lineage: Bacteria
Description: bacterial SSU rRNA
Rfam family: Bacterial small subunit ribosomal RNA
Source: RNAcentral